CAGUAGCCGCGGGAAUACGAGGGGGGCAAGCGUCGUUCGGAAUUAUUGGGCGUAAAGGGUGCGUAGGCGGCUUGACAAGUCUUGUGUGAAAUCUAUGGGCUCAACCCAUAGUCUGCACGGGAAACUGUCGGGCUUGAGAAUGGGAGAGGUGAGUGGAAUUUCCGGUGUAGCGGUGAAAUGCGUAGAUAUCGGAAGGAACACCUGUGGCGAAAGCGGCUCACUGGACCAUUUCUGACGCUGAUGCACGAAAGCUAGGGGAGCAAACAGGAUUAGAUACCCCGGUAGUCCCUGUCUCUUAUAA
RNAcentral lists this ribosomal RNA (301 nucleotides) under uncultured bacterium. RNAcentral describes it as "partial 16S ribosomal RNA". It matches the Rfam family "Bacterial small subunit ribosomal RNA", at positions 509 to 809 of the family's 1533-position model. The record is from RNAcentral.